GAGACAGCAGCUGCCGCGGUAAUACGGAGGGGGCUAGCGUUGUUCGGAUUUACUGGGCGUAAAGCGCACGUAGGCGGACUUUUAAGUCAGGGGUGAAAUCCCGGGGCUCAACCCCGGAACUGCCUUUGAUACUGGGAGUCUUGAGUUCGAGAGAGGUGAGUGGAAUUGCGAGUGUAGAGGUGAAAUUCGUAGAUAUUCGCAGGAACACCAGUGGCGGAGGCGGCUCACUGGCUCGAUACUGACGCUGAGGUGCGAAAGCGUGGGGAGCAAACAGGAUUAGAUACCCCGGUAGUCCCUGUCUCUUAUAC
This 308-nucleotide ribosomal RNA is filed under the name uncultured bacterium. Its description in RNAcentral is "partial 16S ribosomal RNA". It matches the Rfam family "Bacterial small subunit ribosomal RNA", at positions 505 to 807 of the family's 1533-position model. The record is from RNAcentral.